This 358-nucleotide transfer RNA is filed under the name uncultured Microcystis sp. Its description in RNAcentral is "partial 16S-23S ribosomal RNA intergenic spacer". The stretch from base 133 to 206 matches the Rfam family "tRNA". Lineage: Bacteria; Bacillati; Cyanobacteriota; Cyanophyceae; Chroococcales; Microcystaceae. The record is from RNAcentral.
AAGGGAGACCUAAUUCCGGUAGGAGACGAAAAAAAAGUAGUCCCAACCAAGAAUCAAUCCCAAAAGGUCGGAACGAGGUAUGAGGCUUUCAAACUAGGUUCUGGGUUCAUAAAAGACCUGAAUCAGGAACAAGGGCUAUUAGCUCAGGUGGUUAGAGCGCACCCCUGAUAAGGGUGAGGUCCCUGGUUCGAGUCCAGGAUGGCCCACCUGCACAGGUGGCAAAAACAAGAGAAGCUCCGAAUCAGCACCUUAUCUUAUAUACAUAUAUAAGAGAGAAUGCUGGCUCUGAGUACAGAGUCCAGAGGAACCUUGAAAACUGCUUAGAGCUAGGUGAAAAAGCCAAAAAAGAAUACCGCAA